GGCUUGACCCCCAGCGGCU
Molecule: unclassified non-coding RNA, 19 nt
Filed under: Chlamydomonas reinhardtii
Lineage: Eukaryota; Viridiplantae; Chlorophyta; Chlorophyceae; Chlamydomonadales; Chlamydomonadaceae
Description: small RNA Cre_1883
Source: RNAcentral